CCUACGGGUGGCUGCAGUGGGGAAUAUUGGACAAUGGGCGCAAGCCUGACCCAGCAACGCCGCGUGAAGGAAGAAGGCUUUCGGGUUGUAAACUUCUUUUAGCAGGGACGAAACAAGUGACGGUACCUGACUAAGAAGCCCCGGCUAACUACGUGCCAGCAGCCGCGGUAAUACGUAGGUGGCAAGCGUUAUCCGGAUUUACUGGGUGUAAAGGGAGGGUAGACGGGACUGCAAGUCAGAUGUGAAAGCCCAGGGCUCAACCUGCGGACUGCAUUGGAAACUGUAGUACUGGAGUACAGGAGAGGCAGUCGGAAUUCCUAGUGUAGCGGUGAAAUGCGUAGAUAUUAGGAGGAACACCAGUGGCGAAGGCGGUCUACUGGACAGCAACUGACGCUGAGGCGCGAAAGCGUGGGGAGCAAACAGGAUUAGAUACCCUAGUAGUC
RNAcentral lists this ribosomal RNA (443 nucleotides) under uncultured bacterium. Its description in RNAcentral is "partial 16S ribosomal RNA". It matches the Rfam family "Bacterial small subunit ribosomal RNA", at positions 338 to 795 of the family's 1533-position model. The record is from RNAcentral.